GGUAAAUCUCUCAGGUGAAAGUAC
RNAcentral lists this non-coding RNA (24 nucleotides) under Arabidopsis thaliana (thale cress). The record is from RNAcentral. Lineage: Eukaryota; Viridiplantae; Streptophyta; Magnoliopsida; Brassicales; Brassicaceae.